This is a non-coding RNA of Naganishia cerealis, 90 nucleotides long. The record is from the annotation of a GenBank genome assembly. Lineage: Eukaryota; Fungi; Basidiomycota; Tremellomycetes; Filobasidiales; Filobasidiaceae.
GGGCGUGUGGUCUAGUGGUAUGAUUCUCGCUUUGGGUAUUUCUACGAAAGAACUUGUGAGAGGCCCUGGGUUCAAUUCCCAGCUCGCCCC